AAAGUCGUAACAAGGUUUCCGUAGGUGAACCUGCGGAAGGAUCACUAGUGAUUAAAUCGAGAGCGUCUUAAUUGACCUCUCACCCUUCACAUCCACAUACACCCUGUGAAUCGUUUGGCUUUUCAUUAAUAGAGCGCAAGCUCGACAAGUGAAAAGUCAUCAUUUAUACAUACCCCAGUCUUAUGAAUGUAACAGUUUUAAUAAACAUAAUAAAACUUUUAACAACGGAUCUCUUGGUUCUC
This 242-nucleotide unclassified non-coding RNA is filed under the name Basidiomycota sp. RNAcentral describes it as "partial contains small subunit ribosomal RNA, internal transcribed spacer 1, and 5.8S ribosomal RNA". The stretch from base 1 to 47 matches the Rfam family "Eukaryotic small subunit ribosomal RNA", at positions 1785 to 1831 of the family's 1831-position model. The record is from RNAcentral. Lineage: Eukaryota; Fungi; Basidiomycota.